AAAAAAAAACACGUGAGUAACCUGCCCUUGACUUUGGGAUAACUUCAGGAAACUGUGGCUAAUACCGGAUAGGAGCUCCUGCUGCAUGGUGGGUGUUGGAAAGUUUCGGCGGUUGGGGAUGGACUCGCGGCUUAUCAGCUUGUUGGUGGGGUAGUGGCUUACCAAGGAUUUGACGGGUAGCCGGACUGAGAGGGUGACCGGCCAAAUUGGGACUGAGAUAAGGCGAAGAAUCCGAAGGGAGGAAGAAGUGGGGAAUAUUGCACAAUGGGCGGAAGCCUGAUGCAGCAAUGUUUUUUUUUU
Molecule: ribosomal RNA, 300 nt
Filed under: uncultured bacterium
Lineage: Bacteria
Description: partial 16S ribosomal RNA
Rfam family: Bacterial small subunit ribosomal RNA
Source: RNAcentral